AGUGAACGCUGGCGGUAGGCCUAACACAUGCAAGUCGAACGGCAGCACAGUAAGAGCUUGCUCUUACGGGUGGCGAGUGGCGGACGGGUGAGGAAUACAUCGGAAUCUACUUUUUCGUGGGGGAUAACGUAGGGAAACUUACGCUAAUACCGCAUACGACCUACGGGUGAAAGCAGGGGAUCUUCGGACCUUGCGCGAUUGAAUGAGCCGCUGUCGGAUUAGCUAGUUGGCGGGGUAAAGGCCCACCAAGGCGACGAUCCGUAGCUGGUCUGAGAGGAUGAUCAGCCACACUGGAACUGAGACACGGCCCAGACUCCUACGGGAGGCAGCAGUGGGGAAUAUUGGACAAUGGGCGCAAGCCUGAUCCAGCCAUACCGCGUGGGUGAAGAAGGCCUUCGGGUUGUAAAGCCCUUUUGUUGGGAAAGAAAAGCAGCAGGUUAAUACCCCGCUGUUCUGACGGUACCCAAAGAAUAAGCACCGGCUAACUUCGUG
RNAcentral lists this ribosomal RNA (492 nucleotides) under uncultured bacterium. Its description in RNAcentral is "partial 16S ribosomal RNA". It matches the Rfam family "Bacterial small subunit ribosomal RNA", at positions 29 to 507 of the family's 1533-position model. The record is from RNAcentral.